GAUGAACGCUGGCGGCGUGCCUAACACAUGCAAGUCGAGCGAUUCUCUUCGGAGAAGAGCGGCGGACGGGUGUGUAACGCGUGGGUAACCUGCCCUGUACACACGGAUAACAUACCGAAAGGUAUGCUAAUACGAGAUAAUAUGCUUUUAUCGCAUGGUAGAAGUAUCAAAGCUUUUGCGGUACAGGAUGGACCCGCGUCUGGUUAGCUAGUUGGUAAGGUAACGGCUUACCAAGGCGACGAUCAGUAGCCGACCUGAGAGGGUGAUCGGCCACAUUGGAACUGAGACACGGUCCAAACUCCUACGGGAGGCAGCAGUGGGGAAUAUUGCACAAUGGGCGAAAGCCUGAUGCAGCAACGCCGCGUGAGCGAUGAAGGCCUUCGGGUCGUAAAGCUCUGUCCUCAAGGAAGAUAAUGACGGUACUUGAGGAGGAAGCCCCGGCUAACUACGUGCCAGCAGCCGCUGUAA
RNAcentral lists this ribosomal RNA (468 nucleotides) under uncultured bacterium. Its description in RNAcentral is "partial 16S ribosomal RNA". It matches the Rfam family "Bacterial small subunit ribosomal RNA", at positions 28 to 523 of the family's 1533-position model. The record is from RNAcentral.